GCACCCUUAGCUCAACUGGAUAGAGUACCUGACUACGAAUCAGGCGGGUUAGAGGUUCGACUCCUCUAGGGUGCA
Molecule: transfer RNA, 75 nt
Filed under: Streptococcus pneumoniae B1599
Lineage: Bacteria; Bacillati; Bacillota; Bacilli; Lactobacillales; Streptococcaceae
Description: tRNA-Arg
Rfam family: tRNA
About the family: Transfer RNA (tRNA) molecules are approximately 80 nucleotides in length.
Source: RNAcentral